CCUACGGGCGGUAGCAGUGGGGAAUAUUGGACAAUGGGGGCAACCCUGAUCCAGCCAUGCCGCGUGUGUGAAGAAGGCCCUCGGGUUGUAAAGCACUUUCAGUGAGGAAGAACGCCUGGUGGUUAAUACCCAUCAGGAAAGACAUCACUCACAGAAGAAGCACCGGCUAACUCCGUGCCAGCAGCCGCGGUAAUACGGAGGGUGCGAGCGUUAAUCGGAAUUACUGGGCGUAAAGCGCGCGUAGGUGGCUUGAUAAGCCGGUUGUGAAAGCCCCGGGCUCAACCUGGGAACGGCAUCCGGAACUGUCAAGCUAGAGUGCAGGAGAGGAAGGUAGAAUUCCCGGUGUAGCGGUGAAAUGCGUAGAGAUCGGGAGGAAUACCAGUGGCGAAGGCGGCCUUCUGGACUGACACUGACACUGAGGUGCGAAAGCGUGGGUAGCAAACAGGAUUAGAUACCCGGGUAGUC
RNAcentral lists this ribosomal RNA (465 nucleotides) under Vreelandella stevensii. Its description in RNAcentral is "partial 16S ribosomal RNA". It matches the Rfam family "Bacterial small subunit ribosomal RNA", at positions 338 to 795 of the family's 1533-position model. Lineage: Bacteria; Pseudomonadati; Pseudomonadota; Gammaproteobacteria; Oceanospirillales; Halomonadaceae. The record is from RNAcentral.